Molecule: ribosomal RNA, 253 nt
Filed under: uncultured bacterium
Lineage: Bacteria
Description: partial 16S ribosomal RNA
Rfam family: Bacterial small subunit ribosomal RNA
Source: RNAcentral
UACGGGGGGGGCAAGCGUUGUUCGGAAUUACUGGGCGUAAAGGGCUCGUAGGCGGCCAACUAAGUCAGACGUGAAAUCCCUCGGCUUAACCGGGGAACUGCGUCUGAUACUGGAUGGCUAGAGGUUGGGAGAGGGAUGCGGAAUUCCAGGUGUAGCGGUGAAAUGCGUAGAUAUCUGGAGGAACACCGGUGGCGAAGGCGGCAUCCUGGACCGGUAUUGACGCUGAUGCGCGAAAGCCAGGGGAGCAAACGGG